RNAcentral lists this ribosomal RNA (167 nucleotides) under Stanulus seychellensis (Seychelles blenny). RNAcentral describes it as "partial small subunit ribosomal RNA". Lineage: Eukaryota; Metazoa; Chordata; Actinopteri; Blenniiformes; Blenniidae. The record is from RNAcentral.
CACCGCGGUUAUACGAGAGGCCCAAGUUGAUAACCCCUCGGCGUAAAGCGUGGUUAAUAGAACAUUAAACUAAAGCUGAACCCUCUCAGAGCUGUUAUACGUUAUUGAGAAUAAGAAGCCCCCCUACGAAAGUGGCUUUACUAGACUGAACCCACGAAAGCUGGGCC